CCUACGGGAGGCAGCAGUGAGGAAUAUUGGUCAAUGGGCGCGAGCCUGAACCAGCCAAGUAGCGUGAAGGAUGACUGCCCUACGGGUUGUAAACUUCAUUUAUAAAGGAAUAAAGUGAGGCACGUGUGCCUUUUUGUAUGUACUUUAUGAAUACGGAUCGGCUAACUCCGUGCCAGCAGCCGCGGUAAUACGGAGGAUCCGAGCGUUAUACGGAUUUAUUGGGUUUAACGGGAGCGUAGAUGGGUUGUUAAGUCAGUUGUGAAAGUCUGCGGCUCAACCGUAAAAUUGCAAUUGAUACUGGCAGCCUUGAGUACAGUUGAGGUAGGCGGAAUUCGUGGUGUAGCGGUGAAAUGCGUAGAUAUCACGAAGAACUCCGAUGGCGAAGGCAGCUUACUAAACUGCCACUGACAUUGAUGCUCGAAAGUGUGGGUAUCAAACAGGAUUAGAUACCCGAGUAGUC
RNAcentral lists this ribosomal RNA (460 nucleotides) under uncultured bacterium. Its description in RNAcentral is "partial 16S ribosomal RNA". It matches the Rfam family "Bacterial small subunit ribosomal RNA", at positions 338 to 795 of the family's 1533-position model. The record is from RNAcentral.